AUGAACGCUAGCGGCAGGCCUAAUACAUGCAAGUCGAGGGGCAGCGGGAGUAGCAAUACUUGCCGGCGACCGGCGCACGGGUGCGUAACACGUAUACAAUCUGCCCAUGUCUGGGGGAUAGCCCGGAGAAAUCCGGAUUAAUACCCCAUAAUAAAUGAAACGGCAUCGUUUUAUUUUGAAAGCUCCGGCGGACAUGGAUGAGUAUGCGUCUGAUUAGUUAGUUGGUGAGGUAACGGCUCACCAAGACCACGAUCAGUAGGGGAUCUGAGAGGAUUAACCCCCACACGGAUACUGAGACACGGAUCCGACUCCUACGGGAGGCAGCAGUAAGGAAUAUUGGACAAUGCCCGCAAGGGUGAUCCAGCCAUGCCGCGUGCAGGAAGAAGGCCCUAUGGGUUGUAAACUGCUUUUACACCGGAGAAAACCCCCGCUCGUGAGCGGGGCUGAUAGUAUGGUGAGAAUAAGCAUCGGCUAACUUCGU
Molecule: ribosomal RNA, 481 nt
Filed under: uncultured bacterium
Lineage: Bacteria
Description: bacterial SSU rRNA
Rfam family: Bacterial small subunit ribosomal RNA
Source: RNAcentral